Molecule: ribosomal RNA, 1480 nt
Filed under: uncultured Bordetella sp.
Lineage: Bacteria; Pseudomonadati; Pseudomonadota; Betaproteobacteria; Burkholderiales; Alcaligenaceae
Description: partial 16S-23S ribosomal RNA intergenic spacer
Rfam family: Bacterial small subunit ribosomal RNA
Source: RNAcentral
AGUAACAGAGAGUUCGAUCAUGGCUCAGAUUGAACGCUGGCGGGAUGCUUUACACAUGCAAGUCGAACGGCAGCACGGACUUCGGUCUGGUGGCGAGUGGCGAACGGGUGAGUAAUGUAUCGGAACGUGCCUAGUAGCGGGGGAUAACUACGCGAAAGCGUAGCCAAUACCGCCACGCUCCGGGGAAAGUGGGGACCUUUCGGGCCUCGCACUAUUAGAGCGGCCGAUAUCGGAUUAGCUAGUUGGUGGGGUAACGGCUCACCAAGGCGACGAUCCGUAGCUGGUUUGAGAGGACGACCAGCCACACUGGGACUGAGACACGGCCCAGACUCCUACGGGAGGCAGCAGUGGGGAAUUUGGACAAUGGGGGAAACUCUGAUCCAGCCAUCCCGCGUGUGCGAUGAAGGCCUUCGGGUUGUAAAGCACUUUUGGCAGGAAAGAAACGGCACGGGAUAAUACCCGUGCAACUGACGGUACCUGCAGAAUAAGCACCGGCUAACUACGUGCCAGCAGCCGCGGUAAUACGUAGGGUGCAAGCGUUAAUCGGAAUUACUGGGCGUAAAGCGUGCGCAGGCGGUUCGGAAAGAAAGAUGAAAUCCCAGAGCUUAACUUUGAACUGCAUUUUUAACUACCGAGCUAGAGGUGUCAGAGGGAGGUGGAAUCGCGUGUAGCAGUGAAAUGCGUAGAUAUGCGGAGGAACGCCGAUGGCGAAGGCAGCCUCCUGGGAUAACACUGACGCUCAUGCACGAAAGCGUGGGGAUCAAACAGGAUUAGAUACCCUGGCAGUCUCACGCCCCAAACGAUGUCAACUAGCUGUUGGGGCCUUCGGGCUCUGCAGCGCAGCUAACGCGUGGGGUUGACCGCCUGGGGAGUACGGUCGUAAGAUUAAAACUCAAAGGAAUUGACGGGGACCGCACAAGCGGUGGAUGAUGUGGAUUAAUUCGAUGCAACGCGGAAAACCUACCUACCCUUGACAUGUCUGGAAUCCCGAAGAGAUUUGGGAGUGCUCGCAAGAGAACCGGAACACAGGUGCUGCAUGGCUGUCGUCGCUCGUGUCGUGAGAUGCUGGGUUAAGUCCCGCAACGAGCGCAACCCUUGUCAUUAGUUGCUACGAAAGGGCACUCUAAUGAGACUGCCGGUGACAAACCGGAGGAAGGUGGGGAUGACGCUGUCCUCUAUGGCCCUUAUGGGUAGGGCUUUCACACGUCAUACAAUGGUCGGGACAGAGGGUCGCCAACCCGCGAGGGGGAGCCAAUCCCAGAAACCCGAUCGGGUCCGGAUCGCAGUCUGCAACUCGACUGCGUGAAGUCGGAAUCGUUAGCAUCAGGAUCAGCAUGUCGCGGUGAAUACGUUCCCGGGUUCCAGGCACACCGCCCGUCACACCAUGGGAGUGGGUUUUACCAGAAGUAGUUAGCCUAACCGUAAGGAGGGCGAUUACCACGGUAGGAUUCAUGACUGGGGUGAAGUCGUAACAAGGUAG